Molecule: ribosomal RNA, 250 nt
Filed under: uncultured bacterium
Lineage: Bacteria
Description: partial 16S ribosomal RNA
Rfam family: Bacterial small subunit ribosomal RNA
Source: RNAcentral
UACGUAGGAUGCGAGCGUUGUCCGGAUUUAUUGGGCGUAAAGCGAACGUAGGUGGCUUCUUAAGUCUGGUCUUAAAGACCGGGGCUCAACCCCGGGAAUGGACUGGAUACUGGGAAGCUAGAGGAUGUUAGAGGAAAGUGGAAUUCCAAGUGUAGCGGUGAAAUGCGUAGAUAUUUGGAGGAACACCAGUGGCGAAAGCGACUUUCUGGGACAUUCCUGACACUGAGGUUCGAAAGCUCGGGGAGCAAAC